UGGCGGCAUGCCUAACACAUGCAAGUCGAACGGCUCUUCGGAGCAGUGGCGCACGGGUGAGUAACGCGUGGGAACCUACCCUGAGGUUCGGAAUAACGGUUGGAAACGACCGCUAAUACCGGAUGUGUCCUAUGGGGGCAAAGGUUUUGCCGCCUUGGGAGGGGCCCGCGUCCCGAUUAGCUAGUUGGUGAGGUAAUGGCUCACCAAGGCGACGAUCGGUAGCUGGUCUGAGAGGAUGAUCAGCCACACUGGGACUGAGACACGGCCCAGACUCC
This 275-nucleotide ribosomal RNA is filed under the name uncultured bacterium. RNAcentral describes it as "partial 16S ribosomal RNA". It matches the Rfam family "Bacterial small subunit ribosomal RNA", at positions 37 to 339 of the family's 1533-position model. The record is from RNAcentral.